This 227-nucleotide ribosomal RNA is filed under the name uncultured beta proteobacterium. RNAcentral's name for it is "partial 16S ribosomal RNA". It matches the Rfam family "Bacterial small subunit ribosomal RNA", at positions 980 to 1211 of the family's 1533-position model. Lineage: Bacteria; Pseudomonadati; Pseudomonadota; Betaproteobacteria. The record is from RNAcentral.
CUUGACAUGUACGGAACCCUGGUGAGAGCCAGGGGUGCUCGAAAGAGAGCCGUAACACAGGUGCUGCAUGGCUGUCGUCAGCUCGUGUCGUGAGAUGUUGGGUUAAGUCCCGCAACGAGCGCAACCCUUGUCAUUAGUUGCUACGAAAGGGCACUCUAAUGAGACUGCCGGUGACAAACCGGAGGAAGGUGGGGAUGACGUCAAGUCCUCAUGGCCCUUAUGGGUAG